UUCUCGCAGCAGGUGUGCUUUAAGGACGUUUAAGGACGCUUGGUGCGAGUUCUUCCGCUACUUUCAUAAAACUAGUUUGGCAACAAUGGACCUGAAAUUUCUAGGUGGAUGUGUGCCGUUAUUUUCUCUGGCCAUUGUUUUUGACAUCGUAGGUCUAGUUAUUCUCUUCGUUGGGAUAUUUGCAGAUUUGCGACAAGAUGGACAGUUUUACGGUGACUUCUUGAUUUACAGUGGCUCGCUCAUUCUGUUUUCCAGCCUGGCUUUGUGGAUCAUGUGGUAUGUGGGUAACAUAAAGGUUUCCACUGAGGGAUCGAGGAGGGACUCAUUAGUGAGUCAAAAGCACAGUUUCAAACAGCUGGCGAGAAAAUUAACCGAGCGACUGUCCAAAAGUCACAAUAAAGGCGAGGGGAACAACGUUUUUAAAUCACCGGGCAAGGAUGAACUAAAGAAGGAACAUAAAGGUGAACAUGUCGCCUCGCGCAUUACCUGGGGCAAGUCCACCUGCUGCGAGAACAAGGGCUAUGAUGACAGCAACGAGUCCGUUAUUACAUCGAAAAACACCGAGGAGGAGGCGGAAACCGACCUGAAGAUGCUCAAGCUAGGAAACGUUGAACGUCUCCUCUGAGCUGAGGUCACUCCUUGGACCACACCUCCACAAACUACUUGAGCAACACACAAGUCAUAUUUUCUAUAUCUUAAUUAUUUAUUACAGUGCCAUCUUGAUGUUUUCUUUAUAUUGAUGUUUAAUCAGGGACUCAAAGACGGUAUAUUAGAUAUUGCAUAAUGAAUUUGUGAAAUAGUUUGCAUUCUACUGUGAGUUGAACAGGGCUUAGUGUUUUCCCCACCUUUGCUGCUUUGAAUGUUCCACCCUACCCAUGGGUGAUUCUCCCAAUGGGUGUGCCUUUAGGACAUGUGGUGUUUUUCUACUGGCUAAAUUAUCUGCCAUUAUUCUGGAGUUUCUAUGCCUUGAUAGACUGACCAAAAGCCAUGAUAGACUGACAAAAACACCUUUCUGUAUGACUGAAUGCCAUGUUGCUAUGUUUUUAUUUAUAUUAUUUAGUUUUGCCGAUUGGCUGAACCACUUAAUUGCCAUGAAGUUCUGUAGACAAUGUACAAUAGAGGAAAUGUUCCCUUUUUUCAAAAUUACUUUGCACUUUGCCUUUGUUGCCAGUUUAAUACCAUUUUAAAUCUUUAUUUUGAUUAUUUUGUAAGUGAUUUAACUUUUUGAUUUAUAUGGUGAAUGUAAUACAAAUAUCCCCUUCCAAAUAAAAGCAGUAUUUUUA
Molecule: long non-coding RNA, 1283 nt
Organism: Clupea harengus (Atlantic herring)
Lineage: Eukaryota; Metazoa; Chordata; Actinopteri; Clupeiformes; Clupeidae
Exons: 2
Source: RefSeq, a predicted model, not a curated record